Molecule: transfer RNA, 78 nt
Filed under: Schistura incerta
Lineage: Eukaryota; Metazoa; Chordata; Actinopteri; Cypriniformes; Nemacheilidae
Description: tRNA-Lys
Rfam family: tRNA
About the family: Transfer RNA (tRNA) molecules are approximately 80 nucleotides in length. Their secondary structure includes four short double-helical elements and three loops (D, anti-codon, and T loops). Further hydrogen bonds mediate the characteristic L-shaped molecular structure. tRNAs have two regions of fundamental functional importance: the anti-codon, which is responsible for specific mRNA codon recognition, and the 3' end, to which the tRNAs corresponding amino acid is attached (by aminoacyl-tRNA synthetases). tRNAs cope with the degeneracy of the genetic code in two manners: having more than one tRNA (with a specific anti-codon) for a particular amino acid; and 'wobble' base-pairing, i.e. permitting non-standard base-pairing at the 3rd anti-codon position.
Source: RNAcentral
UCACUAGGAAGCUAAAUCUGGGCCUCAGCGUUGGCCUUUUAAGCCAAAGAAUGGUGCCUCCCAACCACCCCUAGUGAA